This 332-nucleotide ribosomal RNA is filed under the name uncultured bacterium. RNAcentral describes it as "bacterial SSU rRNA". It matches the Rfam family "Bacterial small subunit ribosomal RNA", at positions 568 to 898 of the family's 1533-position model. The record is from RNAcentral.
CGUGUAGGCGGUCUUUUAAGUCUGAUGUGAAAGCCCCGGGCUCAACCUGGGAAGUGCAUUGGAAACUGGGAGACUUGAGUACGGGAGAGGGUAGUGGAAUUCCCAGUGUAGGAGUGAAAUCCGUAGAUAUUGGGAGGAACACCGGUGGCGAAGGCGGCUACCUGGACCGAUACUGACGCUGAGACGCGAAAGCGUGGGGAGCAAACAGGAUUAGAUACCCUGGUAGUCCACGCUGUAAACGAUGGGCACUAGGUGUCCGGGGUAUUGACCCCCUGGGUGCCGCAGCUAACGCAUUAAGUGCCCCGCCUGGGGAGUACGGUCGCAAGAUUAAA